This is a non-coding RNA of Aspergillus ellipticus CBS 707.79, 130 nucleotides long. The record is from the annotation of a GenBank genome assembly. NCBI's taxonomy places the organism in Eukaryota, Fungi, Ascomycota, Eurotiomycetes, Eurotiales, Aspergillaceae.
GUCUGGGUGGCGCAAUUGGUAAGCUCAUCCUUCAAUCCCAUUCAUCCUCAACAUAAUCCUAAUUCAUUCUAAAGGUUAGCGCGUACGACUGUUAAUCGUGAGGUUGAGAGUUCGAUCCUCUCCCUGGACG